Molecule: long non-coding RNA, 2305 nt
Organism: Polyodon spathula (Mississippi paddlefish)
Lineage: Eukaryota; Metazoa; Chordata; Actinopteri; Acipenseriformes; Polyodontidae
Exons: 2
Source: RefSeq, a predicted model, not a curated record
UGUUAGUUUGUUGAAGAACAAAGCCAAGCUUUUAGCUACUGUUUUGCAAGUAUUACGACGCAGAGUUCGUUAAACCAGGUGAAUGCACCCCGUUUACUUCUUUAUUAUUCUGUGCAGAGGUUGUUUUUUUUAAUUCCGCAUUGUUAAUGACCCGUCGAUUUUGAAUAAAAACCCAUUUCACUGUCUGCGUGAUGGCUACUACCUUCUCCACCAACCUUCUCCUCUAUUUGUGGAAACACAACCAUCAUUAUUUACAACCAACGAUCAUUACUCACCUCAGGAACUUAUCCAGAGCUGGAUUUGAACUGCCAUCUUCAGGGAGAGAAGGCCAUGGGAUUAGCCCACUGCACCACCAGCUCCCACAGGAAAGCUCUGCUUCACACUGAAUAUAAGGUCAAUUAAACCAUUUUUUGAAAAAGGAAUCAGCUGGAUUCAAAUCCAGACCCCCCACCGUGCCAUCUCACUUGAGUGGAAGAGUCUGCUUUUUCAUUGAAUAUAUAAGAAAUUAACAAAUUCUUUGAAAAUAAAGGACACCUGCAUUUGAACCCAGUCCCUCAAGGUGGAACAACUGGUCACAUUAGUGAAUUAGACCAUUGUGCCAUCUCAUUUCCAUGGAAAAAGGUACCUUUAAAAUUGUCUAUAUAGGACAUGAUCCAGUUAUUCUUUUGAAAAAUGAAGGAAUCAAUGUUUCUACAACAGUAACUUCCAAUAAAUUUUGGACUACCUAAUGUUAAUUAGAAGGUAGUGCAUGAUUUGAGCCGCAUUUCUCCUCACAGGAAUUGAUGACCACAAAGACUUCCUUUUUGUUUUUCUUUUAAUGUAAAAAAACAAAAAAAAAAAUGCUUAUCAACAGUGCUUCAACAUUUAACAAAGACAUGUAUCAUAACCCCCUUUAUAUUCACAGCCUCUCUAAAAAGCAGCUUCCUACAAACUACCAAUGAGACUCCUCAAAGUUCAGCAAUGAAGGACAAGCGCUGAAAACAGACCCGUGCAGGGUACAGCACGCUCCAGCAAGUGAUUCAAUGGAAGUAGCAGAAACGGCUCAAAUGAAUGUCAGGCAAAAAGGGGUUUAUAGUCAAUGGAAUACAAUAACAUUUAGUUCCUUUUUUUUUCAACUGUAAAAGAAACAUGAACCGCCAGAGAAAGACCAUGCCCAGUGUAAAAAAGAAAAAGUGAACAGGAAUACGAUCUGUAUGAGCCACCAAUAGACUUUAGUAUGAAUUCAGUAUACUCACUUAGAUAUGCCAAUGUGGCAGGGCAGUGCUUUACACUGGCAGUGCACAUAUCUCUUGUAAUGUCUGCACAAUACAGGACAGUUCCACACCAUGUAGUUUCGUUAUCUACUGUACAUUGAAACGAAUGCAGAGCACAAAACACUUGCUUGUCUGUUAGACCUACAGGGUGGUGUGCAGUGACUACAUAUAUAUAUAUAUUUUUUGCAGCAUUCUAGUGUUAUGUUGGGCAGCAAUGCACUUGAUGGUUAGUGCAUGGGCUGUAACGCAGGGUUUGAAGGCUCAGAACUUGACAAGUUCAUGUAGUGGCAGAAAAACUACACCACUUUGGAAUGGUUGGGCGGUACAUAACACAAGCAAAGGUUCCCCUAGAAGAGAAUGAGAUCACACUCUUCAGAUCAUGUUGUUGAAGGAAACGGAGUAAAGGAAUACCAUGUUCACCAGGGCUUUAGCCUCUGUGUGUAGUCCUUUGCAUCUAAACUGUUGCUCGCUGUGUCCUUCACUGGAUAUUAUGAGAUAUGCCCUUUGAACACUGCUGCCACAUUUGUCUCUGUCAUAAUCAAAGACAGUUUAACCCUAUGGAUUAUUUUAAGAAUGGGACACGCCUGGUUUGAGUGGGAAGCUUUGCAAAUUCGUAAUUAAAAAAAAAAACACUACGAGUCACUGCAUACCCCUGCAUACACCACUGAAAUGCUUUACAAUAAAGAACACACCGCAAUACACAUCAAUACGAACCAGAACCGCAGGAGUAACGUCUUCUUCCACAAAGUUAUUUAGAUAAGCUAUACACGACUGGCAAACAGACACCGAACAAUCAAACGCAGAAUCCAUUCUCACAUUUUAUUUCAGUUUGAUGAAUCCUAUGAUACGUACUCCCCCCUCCCCCUGAAAAAUAAGUGAACAGAACUCUUGCAUAGCUAAUGAUAAUCUAAGGCUUCUAUUAGUAGUUAUUAUAAUCUGAUAGAUGACAUGGUGAAAUAUACAUGUAGUCCUUCUGGGGUCAGCCAACAGUCUUAGGAUGAGCAAGAAAAGCAAAAAAACAACAACAACAACAACAACAACAAAAAAUCAAC